GGACGCGGCGGGCCGGCGGCCGGGCCGCGGCGCUCGCGAUCAUGCGGCGAGGCGCGGACAGCGGCACGGUUCGACUCCGUACGCGAGCA
This 89-nucleotide transfer RNA is filed under the name Burkholderia cenocepacia. Its description in RNAcentral is "tRNA-Ala(cgc)". RNAcentral also lists the same sequence under 2 other names. The record is from RNAcentral. Lineage: Bacteria; Pseudomonadati; Pseudomonadota; Betaproteobacteria; Burkholderiales; Burkholderiaceae.